GUCUACGGCCAUACCACCCUGAAUGCACCCGACCUUGUCUGAUCUCGGAAGCUGAGCAGGAUCGGGCCUGGUUAGUACUUGGGUGGGAGAAGACCCUGGAAGUGAAUGGGCC
This is a ribosomal RNA of Vicugna pacos (alpaca), 112 nucleotides long. NCBI's taxonomy places the organism in Eukaryota, Metazoa, Chordata, Mammalia, Artiodactyla, Camelidae. The record is from Ensembl.